GAGUGAUAUGAUGGUAUACCAUCUUUCGGGACUGACGCUUGAAAUGGAGAGUUCCUUUUGAUUUACUGAUCACUG
Small nucleolar RNA from Girardinichthys multiradiatus, 75 nucleotides. RefSeq annotates it as small nucleolar RNA SNORD2. NCBI's taxonomy places the organism in Eukaryota, Metazoa, Chordata, Actinopteri, Cyprinodontiformes, Goodeidae. The record is from RefSeq and is a predicted model, not a curated record. The transcript has a single exon.